GCGGAGGAAAAGAAACUAACAAGGAUUCCCAUAGUAACGGCGAGUGAAUUGGGAAAAGCCCAGCGCUGAAUCUCUUAAUCAAACGAUUAUUGAGAACUGUAGCGUAUAGAAGUGAUUGUUUCAAUAAAUAUUUGCUCUCUUAAGUUUCUAUUAGUGGGGCACCCAUAGAGAGUGAUAGGCUCAUAAAGAUAGCAAUUUUAUUGAAAAUUUUUUACUUCUCGGAGUCGAGUUGCCUGGGAACGCAGCUCAAAGAUUGGUGGUAAACCUCAUCAAAGGCUAAAUAUGACUAUGAGACCGAUAGCAAACAAGUACCGUGAGGGAAAGUUGCAAAGAACUUUGAAGAGAGAGUUCAAGAGAACGUGAAACCGCUGAGAAGGAAGCGGAUAGAGUUAACGAUAUAACAAUGACAUUCAACCAAUUAAUUUGCUAUUUAUUAUUAUAUAAUUGUGUAGCUUAAUAUUUUUUCUAUUAAGCCAAUUAUAUAAUAACUGCUUUUUGAAUAGUAUUAAUCGGUGGUUUUGUCAUUGUUUAAUGGCGCUGAAAUGUUUAUUGUGAUAUGUUAACGUUGAUUUUUAAAGAGGACUACGUUACUUUAGUAAUGUAGAAACCUUUAACAAUUGAGGCAUAUUCAACGAUAAAUUUAUAUUCAAUAUAUUUAUUAUCGCAUGCAUUCUCUAAUUUGUGUAAUAAUCUAUUGAUAUGUAUUUUAACUAUAUUCACUAUAUAGUAUGGCAUGUUACAUAUCUAUAUAGCUUUGUAAUAUAGUUUCAAUAGAUUUUU
Molecule: ribosomal RNA, 780 nt
Filed under: Rauschtineria eutamii
Lineage: Eukaryota; Metazoa; Nematoda; Chromadorea; Rhabditida; Oxyuridae
Description: eukaryotic LSU rRNA
Rfam family: Eukaryotic large subunit ribosomal RNA
Source: RNAcentral